UGCAUGUACUCUACGAAUAAGUAUCGGCUAACUCCGUGCCAGCAGCCGCGGUAAUACGGAGGAUACGAGCGUUAUCCGGAAUUAUUGGGUUUAAAGGGUGCGUAGGUGGCGUAUUAAGUCAGUGGUGAAAAGCUGCAGCUCAACCGUAGUCUUGCCGUUGAAACUGAUAUGCUAGAGAGGAGACGAGGUAUGCGGAAUGUGUGGUGUAGCGGUGAAAUGCAUAGAUAUCACACAGAACGCCGAUUGCGAAGGCAGCGUACCAGGCUCCGUCUGACACUGAAGCACGAAAGCGUGGGGAUCAAACAGGAUUAGAUACCCUGGUAGUCCACGCAGUAAACGAUGAAUACUAGAUUUUUGCGAUAUACUGUAAGAGUCUAAGCGAAAGCGAUAAGUAUUCCACCUGGGGAGUACGCCGGCAACGGUGAAACUCAAAGGAAUUGACGGGGGCCCGCACAAG
This 457-nucleotide ribosomal RNA is filed under the name uncultured bacterium. Its description in RNAcentral is "bacterial SSU rRNA". It matches the Rfam family "Bacterial small subunit ribosomal RNA", at positions 470 to 929 of the family's 1533-position model. The record is from RNAcentral.